Molecule: long non-coding RNA, 3565 nt
Organism: Choloepus didactylus (southern two-toed sloth)
Lineage: Eukaryota; Metazoa; Chordata; Mammalia; Pilosa; Megalonychidae
Exons: 3
Source: RefSeq, a predicted model, not a curated record
GCCCGCUGCCUGCGCGGGCGGGCGGGUGGACGCGGGCUCGGCGGCCGGCGGGGGCCUCCGGGGCGGGGUCCCCGCGCGGGGGCUGCGUGACCUUGUGUCGCGUUGUCAAGGGCGACGGGCUCUGCGCGCGGCGCUGUCGCGGGUGGUCGGGGUGCCCCAGGCUCGCGCUCGUCGGCCGGGCCUCAGUUUCUGCACCCCUCGAGCGGGGCCGAUGGCGGCACCCCCAAGGAGGCGUGGAAGUCGGUGAGAAGCCGCGGGUCCGGACCGCUGGAAGGCAGGCCGCCCAGCUGAAAGGGAUGAGAAGCGGAAUUCCGUCCUGACUGGUCUACACCACACGUGGACGCAGCAGCCUCCGCCACCAGCUAAACUGGGCUUACCCGGUUUAUUCCAAUCCUCGCGCCCCGACGCGGCUUCCGCCCUGCUGAGGUUGGGGUCAAGUUGGGAAUUCAGACCCUGAGCCUUCGUUGCCCUGGGAUGGGGCCCUGGCGGCUUCCUGCAGACGCGGUCCCCAGAUAAUCCUCGCGGACGCCCAAGUUUGAGAUUAGCUGCCACGAUCAAAUACCUAGAAAAACGGAUUUAAUUGAGAUUGUGUCAAGUGCCUCAAAGGAGUACAGGAGCCCCGAGUGUCCCCCACGGGGUGUUGGGCGAGAGGCGUGUUGGGGAACGCUGCCAGGAGGGAGAGGUCGGGCAUGAGCACCCCAUCCCCAAGUUCCUGGUUUAAGCAACUUGGAAGAGGAACACGGAAGAAUGGGCAGAUUCGGGCUCAACCUGGCGGCUCCAGCAGUGUCCUACCGGCCCCCUGCCCCAACCUCACCCACCCUUCUCUCCAGCAGCCAGGUCCUACAGUCCGCAGUCAGCGCCGCCCCGCGUUUUCUGGGACACUGAGGCUUGUGGAUGAGAUCACUCUGAUGCAUUGAAUCAAAUAUCCACCAAAUCAGAAGGCUCGGGUGUAUGGCUUACCAUAAGGAAGAUAGGCCGGCUGUCUAACCGUUCAACCUGCAAUGCCCCUUUCUGCCUGAAGCGAAUGUGCACAAGCAGCUAGCACGUCCCACAGCCUCGGACACCAACUCGCCCGCCCAGCAGAAGCCACCGUCUGCUGCGAAUUCCCGUCGAGGUGCAGGAAGCCCUAUGAGCGCGGCAGGCGGCAAGGCGGGACCAGAGGCCAGCAGCAACGCCUACCUCGCACACGGUGCAGUGCCAGCGUGUCUCCACGUGGUGCUUGCACUCGUUGCAGGUGUAGACGAAGCGGUCCUGGCCCUGCGUGUGCAGCUCCACCAGCAUGCACAGCGUGGACCACUUGGAGCGGCGCAGGGAGGAGAACUCCCAGUGCUUGUCCCGGGCAAGCGUGAGGAAGGCAUCGCGCCCAUCCAUGAGGUCACAGCUGAGCAGGGGGUCAGGGUCCACGAUGGGGGGCAGGGUGUUGAUGACAGGCCCGGCGUGGAGGUGGAUCACGAAGAAGACCUACAGGGGGAGAGCGGCAGAGAGCAGCGUCGUCAGCCCAGCGGAGAGGCAGCUGCGUGACACUGCAGGCCCAGGACGCUCUGCGUGCCUCUGCAGCCGGGGCAGGACAGAGGGCUGCCGGGCGGGAUCGGCGCCUGCGCCCCAGGAGUGCUCCAGUGGUCAUGCUCCCUGCAGCAGAACUGCAGGUGCGAACCCGCCAGCCAGCUCUGCCCUCCAGGGGUGCCUGCUGCUCUGACACAGCCCAGUGAGGUUGCAGGAGGUCUGUCUGUCUGUCUGCAUGUUGAGCAGCGGGAGAGAUAGCCAAGAUGCUGUCUCCUUCCUCUUGGCCAGAGGUGGGGCACCAGCACUUGGCAGCCCCUCUUCCUCUACCCCCCCCAACCCCCCUGGCCAGCCCCACGCCACGCCACUACCUCCUUGUGCUUCUCCAUGGUAGCAUAGAGCUUCUGGGACAAGUCGUUGGACACGUUGGGCAUGCUGGGCUUCUUUUUGUUGGCUCGGCUGAUGCUGCUUUUAUUCUUGUUGGUUUUCUUGUUAUUCUUUUUCUUAGCAUUCUUGCUGUCACCCUGGCUGCCCUGUAACAAUAUGAAAAGUUGUCAGACCAGCCCGGCCUCCUGUUCCCACACCUGGGGGCUCCAGGAAGCCCGAGCUAAGGCAGGUCGCCCCUGGGUGACUCUGAUCUGCACUGUAAACACACAACUGCCCUCGAAGAAGCUGCUCAGGAAAGGGAUGAGGAGAGAAGCAGGGGCAGGACUGGGCCAGGAGCAAGUGGGUACUGUGGCAACACACAAACGUAAAGUAAGGACUGCUGGAACUUUCUCAGCUACCUGUGAAGGGAAAGAUAUAUGCAAAAUACUGAGUUCAGAAUCCACUGAUGCAAGGCAGAGGAAGCCACUUUCUAUGAUUCCCCUUCAUCGUACAGGGUAAGCACACACUUGCGAUUCUGACCACAUCACCUCUUGCCAUAGAAAGGCUCCCAACACCCCAGGUGUGCGGGUCUUCGGGGGAGACAAGUGAGGGUGCUAACAGGAGGUGGCCUGGUUCGAGCAGAGUCUCCCAAGCGGCCUCCUGCAGGUGCCACAGGGUGGGACAGCUCCCAGGCCCAGCUCCCCUCCUGCCAGGCCCGCUCAGGCCUGAAACCCACCGUUAGUGCCGCAAUAAUUUGGCUGAUGGUCAGAGGGUCUCAAUCCUCAGUUAAAAGCUCCUAUUGCCUGUUUUACACUUACACCUCAAGGUGAAAAAGGGAACCACAUCUGGUGCAGGGAAGGUCACGUUAACGGGAGAGACUGAGCACAUGAAGGGAAGUGUGAGUCUGGGGGAAGAUUCAGCUGCGUCUCACCCUGUCGUGCCUUCCCACACGAGGGCACCGGCUGGGGUGUUGUGGGAAGAGCCUCUCACCCAGCCCAGCAUCCCGGCACCUCAUGCUUUGGCUCCAACUAUACUGCCGACAAGAACGUUCUACAGAGAUCUUCCUGGGCAUCCCAAGAGCUAUGCUGCCCUGAGGCUCUCCACGGUCCUCACAGCACAGCAAAGGGACAGCUGUGUGCAGGAAGGGUGAUUUUCCAGGGUUAUUUUACUCAUGCAUUUCUGACCCUUUCAUUCUGGAGAACUUGUUUUGAAAAUAAAUAUUUUUAAAAAAUGAAAGACAAUGGUCCUAAGUCACGGUGAUAGCCCCUACCUCAGUGCAGUGAUGAAAGGGGCCCUCACAUCUGGGGUCCUCCCCCCAGCCCUGCACCCCAGUCCAGCUGUGAGCAAGUCACAGGUCCCAGUAGGGGGCACCCUGUAGAGCACCCAGCAUCCUCAAAACUGUCGCAGUCGUCAAAAACAAGGACAGCCUGAGAAAAAUCUACAGCCAAGGCCUAAGGAGACGGCGGGUGACUGUGACGUGGGAUCCUGGGGGGGCUGCUGGGACGGCAAGAGGCCGUCAGGUGGAAAGGAAGGCGGUGGGAGAAGGCACAGCCUUUAGUUAACGACAACGGAUCAAAGCGGUUCAUGGAAGGUAGUGGAUGGGUCGCACAAAAGAAAGAUGGGGACUACCAAGGAGCAGCCUGGGGGCAGCAUCUCGCCUACCCUGGCAAUUUUCCUGUAAACUUUCAACUGUUCUAAA